AUGAUAGAGCGCUUCCAGGGCGAAGAGAAGAUCUACCACAGUUUUGAUAGUGCAGAGGAUGAUCCACAUGGCUACUAUGCCCCCGAGUUCCUCAACAACCUGACUCCCAAUGGCCUGCCUCCGCAUGCGCUCAAACUAAAGAUAAAUUGCCCGGUUAUACUGUUGAGAAAUAUUGAUCCAGCUAAUGGGUUGUGUAACGACACAAGGCUUGUGGUCCGGGGUUUCCAAAGGAACGCCAUCGACGCAGAAAUCGUGCUAGGACAACAUGCUGGUAGGAGGGUGUUCCUUCCUCGGAUACCUCUCUGCCCAUCCGAUGACGAUAUAUUCCCUUUCAAGUUCAAGAGGAAGCAGUUCCCUAUUAGGCUCAGCUUUGCCAUGACAAUCAACAAGGCGCAAGGGCAAACCAUCCCCAUUGUCGGGGUUUACCUACCGGACCCGAUUUUCUCUCACGGUCAGCUUUACGUCGCUUUGUCUAGAGCCACCGCGAAGAGGAACAUUAAGAUUCUCGCCAUCAAGGACAAUGACAAUGGUAAGGGCAAGGGCAAGGACGAAAGCAAGAAUUCAAAGAAGCGAAAAAGAUCUGAGCCCUUAUUAAUAACCACGAAGAACAUAGUCUACAAAGAAGUCCUUAGCACAUGA
Molecule: ribosomal RNA, 639 nt
Filed under: Triticum aestivum (bread wheat)
Lineage: Eukaryota; Viridiplantae; Streptophyta; Magnoliopsida; Poales; Poaceae
Description: partial small subunit ribosomal RNA
Source: RNAcentral